GACGUAGGGCGCGAGCGUUGUCCGGAUUUAUUGGGCGUAAAGAGCUCGUAGGCGGUUUUGCAAGUCGGGUGUGAAAACUCCGGGCUCAACUCGGAGACGCCACUCGAUACUGCCAUGACUCGAGUCCGGUAGGGGAGUGCGGAAUUCCUGGUGUAGCGGUGAAAUGCGCAGAUAUCAGGAGGAACACCGGUGGCGAAGGCGGCACUCUGGGCCGGUACUGACGCUGAGGAGCGAAAGCGUGGGGAGCGAACAGG
RNAcentral lists this ribosomal RNA (254 nucleotides) under uncultured bacterium. RNAcentral describes it as "partial 16S ribosomal RNA". It matches the Rfam family "Bacterial small subunit ribosomal RNA", at positions 524 to 776 of the family's 1533-position model. The record is from RNAcentral.